Molecule: ribosomal RNA, 465 nt
Filed under: Vreelandella stevensii
Lineage: Bacteria; Pseudomonadati; Pseudomonadota; Gammaproteobacteria; Oceanospirillales; Halomonadaceae
Description: partial 16S ribosomal RNA
Rfam family: Bacterial small subunit ribosomal RNA
Source: RNAcentral
CCUACGGGGGGCAGCAGUGGGGAAUAUUGGACAAUGGGGGGAACCCUGAUCCAGCCAUGCCGCGUGUGUGAAGAAGGCCCUCGGGUUGUAAAGCACUUUCAGUGAGGAAGAACGCCUGGUGGUUAAUACCCAUCAGGAAAGACAUCACUCACAGAAGAAGCACCGGCUAACUCCGUGCCAGCAGCCGCGGUAAUACGGAGGGUGCGAGCGUUAAUCGGAAUUACUGGGCGUAAAGCGCGCGUAGGUGGCUUGAUAAGCCGGUUGUGAAAGCCCCGGGCUCAACCUGGGAACGGCAUCCGGAACUGUCAAGCUAGAGUGCAGGAGAGGAAGGUAGAAUUCCCGGUGUAGCGGUGAAAUGCGUAGAGAUCGGGAGGAAUACCAGUGGCGAAGGCGGCCUUCUGGACUGUCACUGACACUGAGGUGCGAAAGCGUGGGUAGCAAACAGGAUUAGAUACCCGAGUAGUC